Molecule: ribosomal RNA, 617 nt
Filed under: Apiotrichum loubieri
Lineage: Eukaryota; Fungi; Basidiomycota; Tremellomycetes; Trichosporonales; Trichosporonaceae
Description: eukaryotic LSU rRNA
Rfam family: Eukaryotic large subunit ribosomal RNA
Source: RNAcentral
UUUACGGAGGAAAAGAAACUAACAAGGAUUCCCUUAGUAACGGGCGAGUGAACCGGGAAGAGCUCAAAUUUGAAAUCUGGCUGUCUUCGAUAGUCCGAGUUGUAAUCUAUAGAAGCGUUUUCCGUGCUGAACUGUGUCUAAGUCCCUUGGAACAGGGUAUCAAAGAGGGUGACAAUCCCGUACUUGACACAAUCAUCAGUGCUCUGUGAUACGCUCUCUACGAGUCGAGUUGUUUGGGAAUGCAGCUCAAAAUGGGUGGUAAAUUCCAUCUAAAGCUAAAUAUUGGCGAGAGACCGAUAGCGAACAAGUACCGUGAGGGAAAGAUGAAAAGCACUUUGGAAAGAGAGUUAAACAGUACGUGAAAUUGUUGAAAGGGAAACGAUUGAAGUCAGUCGUGUUCAUUGGAUUCAGCCGGUCUUCGGUGUACUUCCUUUGAACGGGUCAACAUCAGUUUUGCCCGGUGGAUAAAGGCAGUAGGAAUGUGGCCUCUUCGGAGGUGUUAUAGCCUAUUGUCACAUACACUGGGGGAGACUGAGGACUGCAGCUCGCCUUUUGGCCGGGGUUCGCCCACGUUCGAGCUUAGGAUGUUGACAUAAUGGCUUUAAACGACCCGUCUU